AUCGCUUCUCGGCCUUUUGGGUAAGAUCAAGUGUAGUAUCUGUUCUUAUCAGUUCAGAUACGAAAUUGAUCUUUUAAAAGGUGGCGGGUUUUAAUUCGUGAUUUUAAUUGCGUUUUAUUCUGUCUUUUUAGGCCCAGCUCACCCGGACUGGAGGAGGAAGCCCC
This is a small nuclear RNA of Electrophorus electricus (electric eel), 164 nucleotides long. Its record names the gene U2. It matches the Rfam family "U2 spliceosomal RNA". From Rfam's summary of the family: U2 is a small nuclear RNA (snRNA) component of the spliceosome (involved in pre-mRNA splicing). Lineage: Eukaryota; Metazoa; Chordata; Actinopteri; Gymnotiformes; Gymnotidae. The record is from Ensembl.